UACGUAGGGGGCUAGCGUUGUCCGGAAUCAUUGGGCGUAAAGCGCGUGUAGGCGGUCCGGUAAGUCCGCUGUGAAAGUCGAGGGCUCAACCCUCGAAUGCCGGUGGAAACUGUCGGGCUAGAGUGCGGAAGAGGCGAGUGGAAUUCCUGGUGUAGCGGUGAAAUGCGUAGAUAUCAGGAGGAACACCUGUGGCGAAAGCGGCUCACUGGACCACAACUGACGCUGAUGCGCGAAAGCUAGGGGAGCAAACAGG
This 253-nucleotide ribosomal RNA is filed under the name uncultured bacterium. Its description in RNAcentral is "partial 16S ribosomal RNA". It matches the Rfam family "Bacterial small subunit ribosomal RNA", at positions 524 to 776 of the family's 1533-position model. The record is from RNAcentral.